AUCACUCGGUUCUGGUUUUUCGGUGCGGUGUGAUACGGAUGUAAUUUUAUAAUCGAAAUUGAGAGAACAAUCUUCCCCUGUUUGACAUUUGAAUGAAUCAUGUGAAAAUCUAUCAAUAUAAAAUACAAUGAAAUAACAGCAUAUUCUGCUAAAAAAUUAUCAGCUGUUUUGUUUGCCAUCUUAGGAUAGCAAUCCCGUUUUCUGUUUGGACACAGUCUGGUGGAAAAAGUAGCCCACGGGCUGAGCAAAAACACGCCCCCCCAGUGGAGCAAUGCGAACCAAUCAGAAGAAAGCAUUGGAAAGGGAAACAUCGGAAGCAGGAAGCACCUUCAUGGCUGGCGAAACGUUGUGGCGCCGGAGGAAGUAAAACAUCACAGCACCGAUUCGUACUUUCUCAACCGACCGCACCGACACCAACUGGCGCCACUUUCUGUUCCGACGGUUAGCACGUGGUUCAACUGUUUCGAUGCGCAAGCUCCCGUCAUGCGGUCUCACCUGGCUAGGUUGAAUUACCCAGACGGUCUCUGCCUUACCCGCUGAAAGUGUCCUCCGUUGGACAGAUGACAGAUUGUUGAGGUGAAAUAUUGAGCAGAUUCUCUUGUUCCGGCUACACAGGAUGGUUCAUUGUUUUCGUUUGAGCGCUGUGACAACGACGACGACGACGACGGGGAAACUCUGCUCGGAACCCGUUGAUAGUGGAUCGAAAGGUCGACCUUUCUAGAUCGAUUGUCAGCCGAUUGAAUUGUUUGUUGCCAGAAGAAGAACAGUGCGAUCUAGUUGGCCUUGACAGCAAAAGUGUUUACCUGCGAUGUUAGGAUGACAUUGAACGGCAACGCAGUAGUGUGUGCUUUGGAACAGUUGGUUAUUGAAGUAGAUUGUUGGUUCGCGGCACCAGAAGAAACAAAUCGUUCGCUCAACAACGAAGCAUCAAACCACUUCAACCAGGACCGGAUAAGAAGCUUGAACUGCUGUUCAAAGCAGGUGAUAUUUUUUAUUCAGUUGCGAACUUGAUUGCUUUAAUUGAGUCAAGAUCUUGUUUUAAUUAACAUGUUUAAUAAUGAAUGAAACAUCAUUCAAGGUGUUUUCUACUAGCUAACAAUCUUAUUUUCAGAUCGACAAAAUCCGCAAGGAUUCAAAGCUCCAUUGUUUACAUACCAGCCUUCAAAUCAAGAACAAACCAUUUCAUGUUCUUGUUGCCAGCAGAAAGCGGCAAACAAGGGGAGAUGGUUAUGCAAAAAAUAGAUUUUAAUACUAAUUUUUUAUUAUUCACGUCGGUUUGAUAACUAGAGAUUUAUCGAAUGCUAACGCUUCUUUCUUUCGACAGUGACGAGUACGAACAGCGAUGUACGUACUGUCCGACUGAAAGUGGCCCAACGGUUUGUCCACCGGAUUGCUUCUGCAAGCGACCGCCAGAUGACAGCUCGGAUCGGCUGUAAAACUUCUAGGCGGGGCGGCAAAACACAUGCAAAAUGCGGCUGAUGUCAUAAUUGGUGUAAAUUUCCAAACUUUCUUCUCUUCAAUCAGAUUUAGCGGCACAAGAUCAAUUUUGAUCAAGUUUGCACUACAGAACCGUCGAUCACACACACAUACACAUACGAUAAAUGGGCACAUUUAAAAAAUAUCUAUAGAAGCAGCAGCUGAAUCGCUAAUAAAACUAGUUUAACGUUGAAUGUUCGCUUUCAUAGCCGCAAUAUGUCAUUGUUUGGUAGGUAUAAAUAGUAAUUCAUGCAAUUAAAAGCAGUACGAAAUACAUUGUAUUCAAAAUAAUCAAAAUAAAUCAACAGAAAAGGACUAAAUUGUGUUUA
Malaya genurostris is the source of this 1805-nucleotide long non-coding RNA. RefSeq lists it as uncharacterized. The transcript has 4 exons. The record is from RefSeq and is a predicted model, not a curated record. NCBI's taxonomy places the organism in Eukaryota, Metazoa, Arthropoda, Insecta, Diptera, Culicidae.